Molecule: ribosomal RNA, 498 nt
Filed under: uncultured bacterium
Lineage: Bacteria
Description: bacterial SSU rRNA
Rfam family: Bacterial small subunit ribosomal RNA
Source: RNAcentral
GACGACGCUGGCGGCGUGCCUAACACAUGCAAGUCAAGGAGAAUUCCCGACUUGUCGGGAUAGUAAACUGGCGAACGGGUGAGUAACACGUAGGUAAUCUACCCUCGGGAUCGGGAUAACCUCGCGAAAGUGGGGAUAAUACCGAAUAAAGUCUCGGUAUAAUUUGUCGAGAUGAAAGAUGGGGAUCUUCGGACCUAUUACCUGAGGAUGAGCCUGCGCCUGAUUAGCUAGUUGGUAGGGUAAAUGCCUACCAAGGCAACGAUCAGUAGCUGGUCUGAGAGGAUGAUCAGCCACAUUGGGACUGAGAUACGGCCCAGACUCCUACGGGAGGCAGCAGUGAGGAAUUUUGCGCAAUGGGCGAAAGCCUGACGCAGCAACGCCGCGUGACUGAUUAAGCUCUGAGGAGUGUAAAAGUCUGUCGUAGAGGAAGAAACUAUCCGAUAAGAAUAUUGUCGGAUACUGACGGUACUCUAUGAGAAAGCUCCGGCUAACUCCGUG